Long non-coding RNA from Ictalurus punctatus (channel catfish), 343 nucleotides. The record is from Ensembl. Lineage: Eukaryota; Metazoa; Chordata; Actinopteri; Siluriformes; Ictaluridae.
GGGAGGGACCUUGGUCUUAUCGUUAUCUCGAGGGGGGGCAGCCACCCUUAUAACUGGCUUUCUUCAUGGUUCUCUAAAAAUUAAGGCUUUCCUUGCGAGACGAGAAUCUUCACCAUCUGAAUCACGAAUGAGGACUCACUCGAGCUGCAUAUGGUGCUGCUGGAACUGGAGGAUGUGGAGAAACAGAUCCGUGACCUACUCAACAAGCAGGCCCAGCUGCUGGAGCGAAGAACCGCGCUGGAAACAUCUUGUGCUUCUGCCUACACAUCCAAGGGACCGUGCACCCAAGACUUUUCCAGCCGAGGUCUCAGUCACACCGGCGCCGACACACCGCGGACCUUGG